CUAAAUUUAGUUUAUAGAAAACAUUAAGUUGUCAACUUAAAAAUGUAAUAUAUUAUGUUUCAUUUUAGUCCA
RNAcentral lists this transfer RNA (72 nucleotides) under Mexistrophia reticulata. RNAcentral's name for it is "tRNA-Asp". Lineage: Eukaryota; Metazoa; Mollusca; Gastropoda; Stylommatophora; Cerionidae. The record is from RNAcentral.